UACGGAGGGGGCUAGCGUUAUUCGGAAUUAUUGGGCGUAAAGCGCACGUAGGCGGCGCCGUAAGUCAGGGGUGAAAUCCCGGAGCUCAACUCCGGAACUGCCCUUGAAACUGCAGUGCUAGAAUCUUGGAGAGGCGAGUGGAAUUCCGAGUGUAGAGGUGAAAUUCGUAGAUAUUCGGAAGAACACCAGUGGCGAAGGCGACUCGCUGGACAAGUAUUGACGCUGAGGUGCGAAAGCGUGGGGAGCAAACAGG
This 253-nucleotide ribosomal RNA is filed under the name uncultured bacterium. Its description in RNAcentral is "partial 16S ribosomal RNA". It matches the Rfam family "Bacterial small subunit ribosomal RNA", at positions 524 to 776 of the family's 1533-position model. The record is from RNAcentral.